This 65-nucleotide transfer RNA is filed under the name Decemunciger sp. AB-2017. RNAcentral's name for it is "tRNA-Ser". The record is from RNAcentral. Lineage: Eukaryota; Metazoa; Annelida; Polychaeta; Terebellida; Ampharetidae.
GAUAAGCUUUCGGAAACAAAAGAUCUUGAAAAUCUUUAAAAAGGGUUCGACUCUCUUACUUAUCU